UCAAGUAAAUUAAUUUUACCUAAGACUCAGGUGGUUUCGACCUUAAUAUCCUGCCGAGGCAAAGCAAUUCGUGAGAAUGACUUUGAGCCCGCUGUCUUAGGACAGCGGGAUUUUUAUUAGGUAAA
The sequence is a regulatory RNA element, 125 nucleotides long. It matches the Rfam family "Ribosomal protein L10 leader". From Rfam's summary of the family: This family is a putative r-protein leader autoregulatory structure found in B. subtilis and other low-GC Gram-positive bacteria. It is located in the 5' untranslated regions of mRNAs encoding ribosomal proteins L10 and L12 (rplJ-rplL). The record is from Rfam.